Molecule: ribosomal RNA, 898 nt
Filed under: uncultured bacterium
Lineage: Bacteria
Description: bacterial SSU rRNA
Rfam family: Bacterial small subunit ribosomal RNA
Source: RNAcentral
UGACGGCGUGCCUAACACAUGCAAGUCGCACGAGAAAGUCCUUCGGGAUGAGUAGAGUGGCGCACGGGUGAGUAACACGUAGGUGACCUCCCAAUUUGAGUGGGAUAACCCGGAGAAAUCCGGGCUAAUACCGCAUAAGAAUGACAAAGGUGUAACUAGUCAUUGAAAGGAAUGCCUCUACUUGUAAGCAUUCGCAAAUUGAUGGGCCUGCGGGACAUUAGCUAGUUGGUGGGGUAAUGGCCUACCAAGGCAACGAUGUCUAGCGGAUCUGAGAGGAUGAUCCGCCACACUGGAACUGAGACACGGUCCAGACUCCUACGGGAGGCAGCAGUGGGGAAUCUUGCGCAAUGGGGGCAACCCUGACGCAGCAACGCCGUGUGAGUGAGGAAGGCCUUCGGGUUGUAAAGCUCUGUCAGAUGGGAAAAAUGGCAUUAUGUCGAAUAGAUGUAUUGUUUGAUGGUACCAUCAGAGGAAGCACCGGCAAACUUCGUGCCAGCAGCCGCGGUAAUACGAAGGGUGCAAGCGUUGUUCGGAUUUAUUGGGCGUAAAGCGCGCGCAGGCGGAUUUGCAAGUCAGAUGUGAAAUCUCGGGGCUCAACCCCGAAACUGCGUCUGAAACUACAAGUCUAGAAUCUCGGAGAGGGAAGUGGAAUUUCGCAUGUAGGGGUAAAAUCCGUAGAGAUGCGAAGGAACACCGGAGGCGAAGGCGGCUUCCUGGCCGAGUAUUGACGCUGAGGCGCGAAAGCGUGGGGAGCAAACAGGAUUAGAUACCCUGGUAGUCCACGCCGUAAACGAUGUGCACUAGGUUUGGAGGGCUUGACCCUUGCCGAACCGCAGCUCACGCAUUAAGUGCACCGCCUGGGGAGUACGGUCGCAAGACUAAAACUCAAAGGAAUGAC